AUUGAACGCUGGCGGCAUGCCCUACACAUGCAAGUCGAACGGCAGCACGGGGGCAACCCUGGUGGCGAGUGGCGAACGGGUGAGUAAUGCAUCGGAACGUGUCCUCUUGUGGGGGAUAACCAGUCGAAAGAUUGGCUAACACCGCAUGAGAUCGAGAGAUGAAAGCGGGGGACCCGAGGGUAACUUCGGGCCUCGCGCGAGAGGAGCGGCCGAUGCCGGAUUAGCUAGUUGGUGGGGUAAGAGCCUACCAAGGCGACGAUCCGUAGCUGGUCUGAGAGGACGACCAGCCACACUGGGACUGAGACACGGCCCAGACUCCUACGGGAGGCAGCAGUGGGGAAUUUUGGACAAUGGGCGCAAGCCUGAUCCAGCCAUGCCGCGUGUGUGAAGAA
This 392-nucleotide ribosomal RNA is filed under the name uncultured bacterium. RNAcentral's name for it is "bacterial SSU rRNA". It matches the Rfam family "Bacterial small subunit ribosomal RNA", at positions 29 to 412 of the family's 1533-position model. The record is from RNAcentral.